GAUGAACGCUAGCGGCAGGCUUAAUACAUGCAAGUUGAGGGGCAGCAUGAUAUACGCGAGUAUAUUGAUGGCGACCGGCGGACGGGUGAGUAAUAGGUAGGAGACCUACCUCAUACAGGGGGAUAGCAUAGAGAAAUCUGUGGUAAUACCCCAUGAGGUUAUAUGAAUAGAGGCAUAUAAUCAAAGCAUAAGCGAUUAUGCGGUAUGAGAGGGGCCUACUGACCAUUAGCUAGUUGGUGAGGUAAGGGCUCACCAAGGCGAAGAUGGUUAGGGGUUUUGAGAGAGAGACCCCCCACAUUGGAACUGAGAGACGGUCCAGACUCCUACGGGAGGCAGCAGUAGGGAAUAUUGGGCAAUGGGGGAAACCCUGACCCAGUGACGCCGCGUGCAGGAAGGAGCCCUUCGGGGUGUAAACUGCUGUCGUGUAGGGAGAAGGGUACUAAGGUGAACAAUCUUAGUACUUGACGGUACUACAGGAGGAAGCCCAGGCUAACCU
RNAcentral lists this ribosomal RNA (496 nucleotides) under uncultured bacterium. Its description in RNAcentral is "bacterial SSU rRNA". It matches the Rfam family "Bacterial small subunit ribosomal RNA", at positions 28 to 503 of the family's 1533-position model. The record is from RNAcentral.